UAGGGAAUCUUCCACAAUGGGCGCAAGCCUGAUGGAGCAACACCGCGUGAGUGAAGAAGGGUUUCGGCUCGUAAAGCUCUGUUGUUAAAGAAGAACACGUAUGAGAGUAACUGUUCAUACGUUGACGGUAUUUAACCAGAAAGUCACGGCUAACUACGUGCCAGCAGCCGCGGUAAUACGUAGGUGGCAAGCGUUAUCCGGAUUUAUUGGGCGUAAAGAGAGUGCAGGCGGUUUUCUAAGUCUGAUGUGAAAGCCUUCGGCUUAACCGGAGAAGUGCAUCGGAAACUGGAUAACUUGAGUGCAGAAGAGGGUAGUGGAACUCCAUGUGUAGCGGUGGAAUGCGUAGAUAUAUGGAAGAACACCAGUGGCGAAGGCGGCUACCUGGUCUGCAACUGACGCUGAGACUCGAAAGCAUGGGUAGCGAACAGGAUUAGAUACCCUGGUAGUCCAUGCCGUNNCGAUGAGUGCUAGGUGUUGGAGGGUUUCCGCCCUUCAGUGCCGGAGCUAACGCANUAAGCACUCCGCCUGGGGAGUACGACCGCAAGGUU
This 548-nucleotide ribosomal RNA is filed under the name uncultured bacterium. RNAcentral's name for it is "bacterial SSU rRNA". It matches the Rfam family "Bacterial small subunit ribosomal RNA", at positions 355 to 895 of the family's 1533-position model. The record is from RNAcentral.